GGGCUGCCUGAUGCUUGUAAUGUGUGUGUUCAUGAGAACUCUCUGGUUUGACUCAGUGCAGAAAUGUUACUUAUUUCAACUGCAGCAUUAUUGCUCUUUGGGACGGGUUUUCUCCAAGUAACAUUUUCUACAGCAAGCACACAGGCUCAGCCAGGACAAAGUGUCACUAUGUGGUGUCCACAUGAUAUCCAUAUUUCUGGAGACCUGUACUGGUUCAAACAAACUGAUGGUGAUGUACCAAUUCCUAUUGUGCACAUGUUAUACACUGAAAGCCUUCAGAAGUUAGAGCCAAGUUAUUUCAAUGGUUUUACAAAACAGGACCUGGUCAUGAAUUUGUUCAGCAAAAGCACAACCUUAACAAUUAAGCAUGCGAAUAUUUCUGAUUCUGGCUUCUAUUUUUGUGGAGCUACGGGAUAUCACACGAAAUUUGGCAAUGGAACUAGGCUUGAAGUGAAAGAUGAUGAGAAAUCUCCUUCGUCUAGUACUAAGGAGUGUUCUAGAGACAUCUUUUUCACAUUGACACUCCUAUUUGGUUGCAUCAUUGUUUUUAUAUGUAUUAUUCCUCUAAUUAUGGCUAUUAUCAAGGAACACAAAAGGCAGAAGCUUAAAAAAGUCGCUGAAUGUCAAACACAACAGCAUGAUGACAAGGAAGAUGACUCAGUAGAAUAUGCUGCGGUGCAUUUCAAAAACAAGAGACCCAAAACAGCAGGAAGACAGGCCGAGUACUCAACUGCUGUGUAUACUGACACUACUUGAAACAUAAAACAACCUCAAACACUUAUUAACACCUGAAUAAUAUCACAGUUUAUUUUUUAGAAAUGUAAUUAUAUUGGAGGUCAAAUGGUUAGGCAGAAAGCUGAGGUUCCUUCCGAGUAUCACAUGCUUCAUCCCUGGGCCUUCAGAGAAUUAAAAUCAGGAUAAAAUCAAGUUUAGCAAUUUGUGAGCCAGGUAAAAUGUAUCAUGUCUCUAAAUUAAUUUAGAAACUAUCAAUUAAAGACAUGUUUAAAGAUACAUAAGUGUCAAAGAUGCUUUGGAAAAAUGUAUUCUCAAAAGUGCUAUGGGGAAACUACAUGGGGAGCUAAAGCAGUAAACAAAACAUCAAAUUCAUCUAAAUAUAUCUGAUCAAUAAUGAUACUUCUUGUUUUGAACUGGCAAUAUGAGCUGUGGAGUUGUCUGUUGAUUGACAGGUUUGUCAUAGUUUGGAUGUUUGCAUAAGCCACACCCCCUCAUAUAAAUAAAGCACAUUGAUUUCCUCAUCUUAA
This is a non-coding RNA of Ctenopharyngodon idella (grass carp), 1262 nucleotides long. Lineage: Eukaryota; Metazoa; Chordata; Actinopteri; Cypriniformes; Xenocyprididae. The record is from the annotation of a RefSeq genome assembly.